AUUGAACGCUGGCGGCAUGCCUUACACAUGCAAGUCGAACGGCAGCACGGGUGCUUGCACCUGGUGGCGAGUGGCGAACGGGUGAGUAAUACAUCGGAACAUGUCCUGUAGUGGGGGAUAGCCCGGCGAAAGCCGGAUUAAUACCGCAUACGAUCCACGGAUGAAAGCGGGGGACCUUCGGGCCUCGCGCUAUAGGGUUGGCCGAUGGCUGAUUAGCUAGUUGGUGGGGUAAAGGCCUACCAAGGCGACGAUCAGUAACUGGUCUGAGAGGACGACCAGCCACACUGGGACUGAGACACGGCCCAGACUCCUACGGGAGGCAGCAGUGGGGAAUUUUGGACAAUGGGCGAAAGCCUGAUCCAGCAAUGCCGCGUGUGUGAAGAAGGCCUUCGGGUUGUAAAGCACUUUUGUCCGGAAAGAAAUCCUUGACUCUAAUACAGUCGGGGGAUGACGGUACCGGAAGAAUAAGCACCGGCUAACUACGUG
This 486-nucleotide ribosomal RNA is filed under the name uncultured bacterium. RNAcentral describes it as "partial 16S ribosomal RNA". It matches the Rfam family "Bacterial small subunit ribosomal RNA", at positions 30 to 507 of the family's 1533-position model. The record is from RNAcentral.